AUUGAACGCUGGCGGCAUGCUUUACACAUGCAAGUCGUACGGCAGCAUGACCAAGCUUGCUUGGUUGAUGGCGAGUGGCGAACGGGUGAGUAAUACAUCGGAACGUGCCCUGUAGUGGGGGAUAACCUACCGAAAGGUAGGCUAAUACCGCAUACGACCUGAGGGUAAAAGUGGGGGACCGCAAGGCCUCACGCUAUAGGAGCGGCCGAUGGAAGAUUAGCUAGUUGGUGAGGUAAGGGCUCACCAAGGCGACGAUCUUUAGCGGGUCUGAGAGGACGAUCCGCCACACUGGGACUGAGACACGGCCCAGACUCCUACGGGAGGCAGCAGUGGGGAAUUUUGGACAAUGGGCGAAAGCCUGAUCCAGCAAUGCCGCGUGUGUGAAGAAGGCCUUCGGGUUGUAAAGCACUUUUGUCCGGAAAGAAAUGGCUCUGGUUAAUACCUGGGGUCGAUGACGGUACCGGAAGAAUAAGGACCGGCUAACUACGUGCCAGCCGCCGCAGUAA
RNAcentral lists this ribosomal RNA (506 nucleotides) under uncultured bacterium. RNAcentral describes it as "partial 16S ribosomal RNA". It matches the Rfam family "Bacterial small subunit ribosomal RNA", at positions 30 to 523 of the family's 1533-position model. The record is from RNAcentral.